AGCCAGCAUGAGGACACAGAUGCCCAGCAGACACAGCACUUUGGCAGCCACGAUCUUCAUGGUGCUGCCCUGCAGCAGCUCUCAGAGCGGGUGCAUCAGCAGGGGAAAGCACAGGGAAACUGCAGGGAAAGGUGCUCCUGGAGUUGGUAGCUCGUGCUCCUCAGCCCGCUCCUCCCAGCACGCAGCAGUCGGUGCCUCUGCCUCCUGGAUGUAUGGGCAGCCCAGAAACCU
RNAcentral lists this long non-coding RNA (231 nucleotides) under Gallus gallus (chicken). Lineage: Eukaryota; Metazoa; Chordata; Aves; Galliformes; Phasianidae. The record is from RNAcentral.